CUCCUCACUUCACUGACAGUGUUAGAUAAAUGCAUGUCCAGAAUAGCAUUUACCACUCUCUACUGUACAGAGACACUCUUACACUGAGACUGAGGAUGCCUUUAUCCAGUUUUGGACUCAUGUGUUUUGUCAUCCUGCUAUUACUCUUUUCACAAGGGUGUCCUCAGUGUUUCAUACCUCGGCCGCGAAGUUUAGGACAUGUCAAGGUCUCCUGCUGUACCGAAGUUGGAAAUGGUACAAUUAAUGAACCUGUCAAUGAGUGCUUUGAACAGAAGGAAACCAGAUUUCGUCAUUGCAGAGUUCACGCAUUUAUCUUCACUAAAGGGACUAAAAGAUGGUGUGUGGACCCAAAAGCCUGGUGGCUUCAACAAAGAUUCCGGAGGUUGCAGAGCAAUGGAAUAUGUUGUCAGAUACUCUGAGGUGCUUCCGACAGACACACUGAAGACGACACACCAGCGCUUUCCAAGCAGACAUCUCUCUGACAUGAUUUUCAAAUUUUGAAUAUACUCUGCUUGUAAAUGCAUUUUUAACUAUUCAUAAAUUCUCUGUAAGAAUCUUGAGUGUAUAGUUUCAAAAUUAAUGCUUUCACUGCUAAACAGAUGAGUUCAGUUUCAGACAUUCUUACAUUUCAGGCUCCUCGCCACUUCCUGAUCAGCUCUGACUUUUUUUUAUAACCUGGAAUGUGUCAUGCAUUUAUUGCCCAAACUUGCGGCAUCCAUGGCUGCUGGACCAGAUGUUUAAUUCAGUACAAGUAUAUCGUAAAGAAAAUGGAAAUACUCAAGUAAAGUACAGGUAACUUUCUGCUGUAGUGUAAUAUUUUUGGGUACGAUGUGCUAAAAGUAAAAGAUGAUAUAAUUAUGGCAAAUGCUAUUAGACUGAAGAAGAGAGUUGAAACAUGCAUCUGAAAUACAUUGUGAUGAAUAUUCUAGUCAUGACUGAUGUUUUGAUAGCAUUGUGUGUGUCUAUCUGUGGAGGACACACACACAGCUGGGAGAUCAUAAAGUAAAACAUGUAUUUUUGGUGUGAAGACAAAUCGCAUGCUUUUUAGAAAAUUAUCUAGUCAAAACAUAAUGGUGUGAAGUUAAGGCAGUAUAACUUUUAAAAGAGGUGUAUCUGAAACAAAACAAUACAUAAAGGUACAAUAUGCAUCAAAUAGGUCUCAAAAUGAUAGAGGAAAAAAUUGAAGAGGGCCAGAAGCAAAGUCUGAA
This is a long non-coding RNA of Acanthochromis polyacanthus (spiny chromis), 1208 nucleotides long. RefSeq lists it as uncharacterized. Lineage: Eukaryota; Metazoa; Chordata; Actinopteri; Pomacentridae. The transcript has 4 exons. The record is from RefSeq and is a predicted model, not a curated record.